Molecule: ribosomal RNA, 756 nt
Filed under: uncultured bacterium
Lineage: Bacteria
Description: bacterial SSU rRNA
Rfam family: Bacterial small subunit ribosomal RNA
Source: RNAcentral
GAUGAACGCUGGCGGCGUGCCUAACACAUGCAAGUCGAACGGUCCUCGUAAGGGGAUAGUGGCGCACGGGUGAGGAACACGUAGCUGACCUGCCUCAGAGCGUGGGAUAACGCCCCGAAAGGGGUGCUAAUACCGCGUAAGCUCACGGUUUUUAGAGGACUGCGAGAAAAGGCCUUCGGGUCGCUUUGAGAGGGGGCUGCGGCGCAUCAGGUAGUUGGUGGGGUAACGGCCUACCAAGCCAACGACGCGUCGGGGGUCUGAGAGGAUGACCCCCCACACUGGGACUGAGACACGGCCCAGACUCCUACGGGAGGCAGCAGUGAGGGAUAUUGCACAAUGGGGGAAACCCUGAUGCAGCGACGCCGCGUGGGCGAUGAAGGUCUUCGGAUCGUAAAGCCCUUUUCUGUGUGACGAGCAAGGACGGUAGCACAGGAAUAAGUCUCGGCUAACUACGUGCCAGCAGCCGCGGUAAAACGUAGGAGGCAAGCGUUAUCCGGAGUUACUGGGCGUAAAGCGCAAGUAGGCGGCCUGACAAGUUGGUUGUGAAAGCGCCCGGCUAAACUGGGCGAGGCCGACCAAGACUGUUAAGCUAGAGAGUGAUAGAGGGGCGCAGAAUUCGGGGUGUAGCGGUGAAAUGUGUAGAGAUCCCGAGGAAUACCAGUGGGGAAGCCGGCGCCCUGGGUCAUAUCUGACGCUGAGAUGCGAAAGCGUGGGGAGCGAACGGGAUUAGAGACCCCGGUAGUCCACGCCGUAAAC